This 353-nucleotide ribosomal RNA is filed under the name Salmonella enterica subsp. enterica serovar Agona str. SA-2. Its description in RNAcentral is "bacterial SSU rRNA". It matches the Rfam family "Bacterial small subunit ribosomal RNA", at positions 1 to 350 of the family's 1533-position model. The record is from RNAcentral. RNAcentral also lists the same sequence under 1 other name. Lineage: Bacteria; Pseudomonadati; Pseudomonadota; Gammaproteobacteria; Enterobacterales; Enterobacteriaceae.
AAAUUGAAGAGUUUGAUCAUGGCUCAGAUUGAACGCUGGCGGCAGGCCUAACACAUGCAAGUCGAACGGUAACAGGAAGCAGCUUGCUGCUUCGCUGACGAGUGGCGGACGGGUGAGUAAUGUCUGGGAAACUGCCUGAUGGAGGGGGAUAACUACUGGAAACGGUGGCUAAUACCGCAUAACGUCGCAAGACCAAAGAGGGGGACCUUCGGGCCUCUUGCCAUCAGAUGUGCCCAGAUGGGAUUAGCUUGUUGGUGAGGUAACGGCUCACCAAGGCGACGAUCCCUAGCUGGUCUGAGAGGAUGACCAGCCACACUGGAACUGAGACACGGUCCAGACUCCUACGGGAGGCA